UGACAUGAGUCUUAGAUGGAUGGCAUUUGUAACAUGUUUGAAAUGUUGAUAUUUCUAUGUUAUAAUGUGAUGUUGAACCUUUUUAUCGAGAAAUUUACUUAAAUUCUAUUUAAUAAUUGUGGGAUUAUGAAAUUACAGAUACGCGAUAUUGGGUGGAAAAUAACAUAUCAUAAGAACAAAGUAGAGGUAGAGGAAAGCAAGAACGAAUUGCUCGAAAUGUUGAAGGCCUUGGAAGGAGCACUAGGAGAUAAGCCUUAUUUUGGAGGGGAAAACUUUGGAUAUGUUGAUAUUUCUCUUAUUGGAUACUACAUGAUAUUUUAUACCUAUGAGACCUGUGCGAAUUUCAGUAUAGAGGCUGAGUGCCCCAAGCUAAUUGCAUGGGUAAAGAGGUGCUUGGAGAGGAAGACCGUUUCCAAGUCUCUUGGUGAUCCCAAAAUUGUCUAUGAAAUAGCUGUCGAGUGGAAAAAGAGGCUUGGUUUAGAGUAGUGAGGAAUUGUGUUAUGUUUGCGAAUAAACACGAAUGCAUUUGAAAUAGCGGAGAAUUUUACGUCCUAUAUAAACGACAUAAUGCUCGUUCACAAGAGUGUCUGAAUCGUGUUGCGUUGCGUUGUGUUGUGUAAUGUCUUGUUGACGAUUUUUAAUGUGUUUUUAAUAAAGAAAGCGUCAAGUUGUGUUUGUAUCUUAGGUAGUCCUUUUGUUUUCCUUAAGAGUUUUGAUAAGGUGGGUUAGACAUGCUAAGUUAGUUUUCUAAUUUUUCAGAAAAUUGAAAACGUCACCUUUG
This 781-nucleotide long non-coding RNA is filed under the name Olea europaea subsp. europaea. Lineage: Eukaryota; Viridiplantae; Streptophyta; Magnoliopsida; Lamiales; Oleaceae. The record is from RNAcentral.